This 252-nucleotide ribosomal RNA is filed under the name uncultured bacterium. Its description in RNAcentral is "partial 16S ribosomal RNA". It matches the Rfam family "Bacterial small subunit ribosomal RNA", at positions 524 to 776 of the family's 1533-position model. The record is from RNAcentral.
UACGUAGGGGGCAAGCGUUGUCCGGAAUUAUUGGGCGUAAAGCGCGCGCAGGCGGCCUUUUAAGUCUCGUGUCUAAACCCCGGGCUCAACCCGGGGGUGCAGGGGAUACUGGGAGGCUGGAGUGCAGGAGAGGAAAGUGGAAUUCCACGUGUAGCGGUGAAAUGCGUAGAGAUGUGGAGGAACACCAGUGGCGAAGGCGACUUUCUGGCCUGAAACUGACGCUGAGGCGCGAAAGCGUGGGGAGCAAACAGG